UAGACAGGCUGUGUCCGUAGAAACGUCUGGCAAGAUAGCGGGUCAGGAUAUCAAUAUAUCGUUAGAUAGAUCGUACGCAGAUGAGUCGAGCUGUGGUACCACACAUGUAGAUAGAAAUCUGCAUUGACCUAGUUCUUUGAUGUGCUAUAUAUAGAUUGAAAAUUGCGUUCAUUUAGUUGGCAAUGCUGAUUUGAAUGUUAACAUUGUGGAUGUUGGUUUUGAACAUGAUGUCUCUAGCAAGGAUAUGUUUGAUGAUGGUUACCAUGGAAACGAACUCACGGACCUAUGUCAAAAAUGUCUUUUUCUGAUAAAAUAAAUAUAAUGUUAUGCAUUUCACUCAA
Long non-coding RNA from Ostrea edulis (European flat oyster), 341 nucleotides. RefSeq lists it as uncharacterized. NCBI's taxonomy places the organism in Eukaryota, Metazoa, Mollusca, Bivalvia, Ostreida, Ostreidae. The record is from RefSeq and is a predicted model, not a curated record. The transcript is spliced from 2 exons.